This 230-nucleotide long non-coding RNA is filed under the name Elaeis guineensis (African oil palm). Its description in RNAcentral is "long non-coding RNA (EGUI_LNC006517)". The record is from RNAcentral. Lineage: Eukaryota; Viridiplantae; Streptophyta; Magnoliopsida; Arecales; Arecaceae.
GGGCCUACUUGACAUAUGCCCAACUCAUUAACAUUUCCAUCCAUCUCCACCAAUCAUCAUAUAGAUUUAAAUGAUUUUGGAAUUUGGACAGUACAAGCAACGGUGAAUUAAACCUUUAGUUUAGCUAACUUUCCCGCACUUAAACAUAUAUAAGGUUUGAAGUGACAACGAGAUACAUUGCUCUAUAUUACUACAUCACCAUAAAAACAAAUCCAUGCAGCUUAUUCGGG